UGGUUCUGGCAUCGAUGAAGAACGCAGCGAAAUGCGAUAAGUAAUGCGAAUUGCAGAAUUCAGUGAGUCAUCGAAUCUUUGAACGCACAUUGCGCCCUUUGGUAUUCCGAAGGGCAUGCCUGUUCGAGCGUCAUUAUCAACCCUCAAGCCUGGCUUGCUGUUGGACCUUCGUCGUUAAAGACGGGUCUCAAAGAUAAUGACGGAGUCAGUUGGACCCUAGAUGCAACGAGCUCUUGUAGCACGCAUUGAAGGGGACGGCAGCUCCGGUCUGAACCAAAUAUUUUAUCAGGUUGACCUCGGAUCAGGUAGGAAUACCCGCUGA
Molecule: unclassified non-coding RNA, 322 nt
Filed under: uncultured fungus
Lineage: Eukaryota; Fungi
Description: partial contains 5.8S ribosomal RNA and internal transcribed spacer 2
Rfam family: 5.8S ribosomal RNA (bases 1-133)
Source: RNAcentral